Molecule: non-coding RNA, 46 nt
Organism: Harpegnathos saltator (Jerdon's jumping ant)
Lineage: Eukaryota; Metazoa; Arthropoda; Insecta; Hymenoptera; Formicidae
Source: Rfam
AAAUCGGCCCUUUUUAGGGCCACUGUGAUGUAUUAUUUCCUAUUAU